Molecule: ribosomal RNA, 329 nt
Filed under: uncultured bacterium
Lineage: Bacteria
Description: bacterial SSU rRNA
Rfam family: Bacterial small subunit ribosomal RNA
Source: RNAcentral
CUAAUACCGGAUACUGACCCUUGCAGGCAUAUGCGAGGUUCGAAAGCUCCGGCGGUGAAGGAUGAGCCCGCGGCCUAUCAGCUUGUUGGUGAGGUAAUGGCUCACCAAGGCGACGACGGGUAGCCGGCCUGAGAGGGCGACCGGCCACACUGGGACUGAGACACGGCCCAGACUCCUACGGGAGGCAGCAGUGGGGAAUAUUGCACAAUGGGCGAAAGCCUGAUGCAGCGACGCCGCGUGAGGGAUGACGGCCUUCGGGUUGUAAACCUCUUUCAGCAGGGAAGAAGCGAAAGUGACGGUACCUGCAGAAGAAGCGCCGGCUAACUACG